AAAUUGAAGAGUUUGAUCAUGGCUCAGAUUGAACGCUGGCGGCAGGCCUAACACAUGCAAGUCGAACGGUAACAGGAAGCAGCUUGCUGCUUCGCUGACGAGUGGCGGACGGGUGAGUAAUGUCUGGGAAACUGCCUGAUGGAGGGGGAUAACUACUGGAAACGGUGGCUAAUACCGCAUAACGUCGCAAGACCAAAGAGGGGGACCUUCGGGCCUCUUGCCAUCAGAUGUGCCCAGAUGGGAUUAGCUUGUUGGUGAGGUAACGGCUCACCAAGGCGACGAUCCCUAGCUGGUCUGAGAGGAUGACCAGCCACACUGGAACUGAGACACGGUCCAGACUCCUACGGGAGGCAGCAGUGGGGAAUAUUGCACAAUGGGCGCAAGCCUGAUGCAGCCAUGCCGCGUGUAUGAAGAAGGCCUUCGGGUUGUAAAGUACUUUCAGCGGGGAGGAAGGUGUUGUGGUUAAUAACCGCAGCAAUUGACGUUACCCGCAGAAGAAGCACCGGCUAACUCCGUGCCAGCAGCCGCGGUAAUACGGAGGGUGCAAGCGUUAAUCGGAAUUACUGGGCGUAAAGCGCACGCAGGCGGUCUGUCAAGUCGGAUGUGAAAUCCCCGGGCUCAACCUGGGAACUGCAUUCGAAACUGGCAGGCUUGAGUCUUGUAGAGGGGGGUAGAAUUCCAGGUGUAGCGGUGAAAUGCGUAGAGAUCUGGAGGAAUACCGGUGGCGAAGGCGGCCCCCUGGACAAAGACUGACGCUCAGGUGCGAAAGCGUGGGGAGCAAACAGGAUUAGAUACCCCGGUAGUCCACGCCGUAAACGAUGUCUACUUGGAGGUUGUGCCCUUGAGGCGUGGCUUCCGGAGCUAACGCGUUAAGUAGACCGCCUGGGGAGUACGGCCGCAAGGUUAAAACUCAAAUGAAUUGACGGGGGCCCGCACAAGCGGUGGAGCAUGUGGUUUAAUUCGAUGCAACGCGAAGAACCUUACCUGGUCUUGACAUCCACAGAAGAAUCCAGAGAUGGAUUUGUGCCUUCGGGAACUGUGAGACAGGUGCUGCAUGGCUGUCGUCAGCUCGUGUUGUGAAAUGUUGGGUUAAGUCCCGCAACGAGCGCAACCCUUAUCCUUUGUUGCCAGCGAUUAGGUCGGGAACUCAAAGGAGACUGCCAGUGAUAAACUGGAGGAAGGUGGGGAUGACGUCAAGUCAUCAUGGCCCUUACGACCAGGGCUACACACGUGCUACAAUGGCGCAUACAAAGAGAAGCGACCUCGCGAGAGCAAGCGGACCUCAUAAAGUGCGUCGUAGUCCGGAUUGGAGUCUGCAACUCGACUCCAUGAAGUCGGAAUCGCUAGUAAUCGUGGAUCAGAAUGCCACGGUGAAUACGUUCCCGGGCCUUGUACACACCGCCCGUCACACCAUGGGAGUGGGUUGCAAAAGAAGUAGGUAGCUUAACCUUCGGGAGGGCGCUUACCACUUUGUGAUUCAUGACUGGGGUGAAGUCGUAACAAGGUAACCGUAGGGGAACCUGCGGUUGGAUCACCUCCUUACCUUAAAGAA
Molecule: ribosomal RNA, 1552 nt
Filed under: Salmonella enterica subsp. enterica serovar Typhimurium
Lineage: Bacteria; Pseudomonadati; Pseudomonadota; Gammaproteobacteria; Enterobacterales; Enterobacteriaceae
Description: bacterial SSU rRNA
Rfam family: Bacterial small subunit ribosomal RNA
Source: RNAcentral